AUUGAACGCUGGCGGCAGGCCUAACACAUGCAAGUCGAGCGCGCGGCGGACGGGUGAGUAACGUCUGGGCAACUGCAUGAUGGAGGGGGAUAACUACUGGAAACGGUAGCUACUACCGCAUACCAUCAGAUGUGCCCAGAUGGGAUUAGCUAGUAGGUGGGGUAACGGCUAACCUAGGCGACGAUGCCUAGCGGGUCUGAGAGGAUGACCUGACACACUGGAACGGAGACACGGUCCAGACUCCUACGGGAGGAAGCAUUGGGUAAUAUGGCAAAAGGGGCGCAAGCCUGAUGCAGCCAUGCCGCGUGUAUGAAGAAGGCCUUCGGGUUGUAAAGUACUUUCAGCGGGGAGGCGUUACCCGCAGAAGAAGCGCCGGCUAACUCCGUGCCAGCCGCCGCGGUAAUGC
Molecule: ribosomal RNA, 406 nt
Filed under: uncultured bacterium
Lineage: Bacteria
Description: partial 16S ribosomal RNA
Rfam family: Bacterial small subunit ribosomal RNA
Source: RNAcentral